Stegastes partitus (bicolor damselfish) is the source of this 2121-nucleotide long non-coding RNA. RefSeq lists it as uncharacterized. The transcript has 2 exons. The record is from RefSeq and is a predicted model, not a curated record. NCBI's taxonomy places the organism in Eukaryota, Metazoa, Chordata, Actinopteri, Pomacentridae.
AUACAGGAACCAGAACAACAUGAAGACCUCAGAGACGUCUUCUGUGUCGUCAGAUGAAUUCAUGCUGACGUAAAUCACAGCUAGCGAGCCGGUCCAGCAAACACAGGUCCGUUAACGCCCUUAUCCAGUUAAAGAGUCGAGCAGCUUCUCCGGGAUCUUUAUGUUUCACAGAACUCUGGAUUCAUGUUCAAGCAAAAAAACACAAAACAACAAAUCUCAUUGUGAUUAUUUAGAUAAUUACUGUGAUUAGAAGAGACACAAACAGAAACUAACAUUCAAAGAGGACGGUGUGAUUUUCUUUCUGCUGUUUCCUGAUGAUGUCUGAAGCGGUUCUGCAACUGGAGUUAAUCAUUAAAAUGUGUUUUAAAUCAUUCUAUGCAGAAAUAGUUCAGACUGUGCUUUUAUUUUGAUGCUGCAAAAUAGCAAAAGAGGAAAUGGUCAGCAGGAAACAGGAAGCAGAUCAGAAAGCUGUCUGAUCCAGAUCAGUCGUGCCGGUUCGUCCCUCGUGAGGCGAUGGCGUCUCGCUCCAAGUCAACGUAGCCGACUGUGAAGGAAGUGAAGCAGCAAGACGCUCACGCUCCCGGCUCUGUAAAGGCUGUUUACCUGUUUACCUGACGUUCUGACUUCUGCACAUUACUGCAUCCUGACGUUUGACCGUCAUGUGAACUGAUGACAGCGAGUGUUUGGCGUCCAUUCAGCUGGUUUCUCUGAUCUGUGGUUGAAGUGAGUCGGGUUUCUGGCGCCGUGCUGCCGUUUACUGGGAAGACCUUCAUGUGUCUGAAGCUGUGUCUGAAGUAAAGCGGUGAUGUAUGAGGGACCAGGAUCCAUGACGACCGAGACGCAGGAAAACAGGGAAACAGUAAAAAUAGCAUCCUGUCAAUAUUUUAGAGACGCGCCCCAAAAAACCUCCACGACCCGAGUUCUGAGGAAGCUCGUGUUUAAUUAAGAGGACGAGCUCGUCCCGGAGCUCACACACCGUUCACCAGCAGAUUCAGCUUCACACCAACGUUCUACAGAUCAGGUCAGAGCUGGUUUCUCAACGUGAACUCAGCUUUUACUGCAGUUUGACAGAUUUUUGUUAGAUUACAGAUAAUAACGAGUAAAAUAUCAGAAAACAAUCAUUUCUGUGUCAACUGUGAAGCUGGAACUGGAUCCACAUUAAACAUCUGUACAGUUUAAAACAGGACUUUGACUGUAAACUGACAGAAGUUUUAUUUAAUCAGGAACAAAUGCUGUCAUUUGAAGAUCUUUGCCUUUACUUGACAGAACAUGUUGGUAACGAUGAAUCAUCUCUUUAACUGCUUUUCUCAUGUUUUGAAUAAAAGAUCAAAUUGAACAAAAUCACAGAUAAAAAUACUAAAAGCAGUGAAACUGUCCAGACGUCUGGUCCAACCAAACUCCAGAAACCUCCAGUAACGCCUGAUGGACUUCUUCGACCCGAUCGAAGGCUUUUAUUUUGAAGGCAGCCCGUGCAGCUCGUCUCUCUGGACCCAGAUGGAUGCUGGAGGUUUUCAGAUCUUUGCUGUUUGCUGCGUGUUCGUCUUGUUGACGCUCCUUACAAACAAAGCGCUGCUCCUCCUCGGAGACGCUCGGCUGUCUAACGUGCUGCUGCUGAUGUUUUAACACCAGCUGAUUAAAAUUUGAUUUGAUUCGAGGCAGCAGCGGCUGAAACUUUAAUUUCUGACGGAACACAAAACAACUGGAACAUAAAACACAAACCGGCGAAUGGAGCCGAACGCCGAGUAAAAAUAGAAGAAGUGGUAAUUAAAAUCACAGAGCGACGGCGUGGAGCCACCAAUCAGGAGUAAUGGUGUCUCUUUGUAGAAUAAAUCCCUUUAAUGUGACGUGACAGCGAUGCCUCUCCUGGUGGAGAAACUUUGAGUCCCUGGUGUUUGUUUUAUUCUCUGCUGACUUGUUCUCGUAUUUAUUUCUGUCGUUGUGAUGAUAGAAACCUGUUUGGAUGUUUUCAUUCUGUCUUUAUAGAACUUAUUACUCCGUAAAUCUCGGCGGUUCCUCUGAACUCGGCCCGCUAAUCAGUUCUGCUUUAAAUCAAGUGUUUUAAUCCUGAGCUGUCACUCACUCCAUUCUCUCAGCAGACACAAUAAACGCUCUAAACAUCCA